CAGGGCCCUGUAGUGAACGCCGGUGUGAGCCGAGAAGACCUGUGCCGACUCGUACACUUCGUGGCAUAUCGGACAUUCGUACCACUCGUCGGGUCCGCUACGGUGCAGGCUGUGUAUCCGCCCAUCAGCUCCCAGAUGAGAGAGAAUUUCCACAUCAAGCGGCUGAAGCCCCUCCUGGACGGCGUCGUUAUCAGCAGGCUCCUCGGGACGUGGUGGAGGUUCUCGGUGAAAGCUGAGUAGUGGAUCAGCCGAGUGAACUGGAUGGCUUGCUGCUGCUGGUUGUGGUGGCUCCGUUGAUGGGUUUGCCGGAUCCAUCGUUUUUCUUGAUGGAAAUGGAGUUGGGAAAUGAGGAGAGGAGAGAAAUUUCAAGGUCGGGUAAAUGUUGACGGGAGUCGGAAUUUUGGUGAAGCACGACUAUUCUCCUUUUCUUCUUUUUUGUUCUGGGAGUUCUGUUAAUAGGAGGUUAGAAUAUAAAGAGAAGUUGGCUGAAGGUUGGGGCAAAAGAGUAAUUUCAAGUUUGCCAAGGAGGAUGAAAAUAGGACCCACAAAAAAUGCCAAAAGAGGAAAUGCCAUUAUGUUUUAAUAAGAUCAAAUCUAAGUGUUUUGAAUGCAUAUGGUAACAGAGUAUCUGAAAGAAACUCGUAGUCAUUAUUGUGCAUAUCCACAAAAAGGAGUAAAAAAAUAAAUGCGUUUCUUAAAAAAACCGAUGGCCAAAAACAAUCUAUUAUGUUUCGAUUUUAUUUUUAACUUAUGAGGGUGCUCCAAUGGAAGAAAAAAUGUGAAUGUAUUUGUGUCAUUUUCCAAAAUUGAUCAUUCCUGUAUUUGUGUCAUUUUCAAAAAUUGAUCACUCCUCUGCUAGUUAGGUUAAUUAAUAUGCCGCUAUUGAUGGAUUUUUCUUACGUACUACAUGAUUAUUCGGGUUUAUGGUCAUAUAUUUUGACUUUCUCUAAUAAUAGCGGAAUAUGUGUAGAUGAUUGUUCGUGUUUUUCAUUUUGUUACACAUGAUAGUUUACUAAUGAAUAUAGUUUUUUUUAAUUCUUUGUAAGAAAAAAAAAAUCUUAAUUUUGUGCGUUUGUACUGUAUUGGUCUUAUAGGAAUCCCACAUCGGAUGUGAUCACAUAAAUAGUUUCACAUGAAGUUUAUAAACGGGAAUUUGUCCCACAUCGAAGAAAGACAACUUGAUAGCUAGCAUUCUUCAUUAUUAAACGAGGUUUGUGAACUCUACAAUUAUUAAAUACACUCUUAACUCUUUGUGUGUAGCCUAACUUGAGUAAACCCACGUAUAUCUUGUGAGUGAGUGUGUGAGAUCUAAGCAUUAUCAUACAAGGUGGAGUUUGGAAAAUGAGGAUGACGAGAGGAAAUCGAAGGUGCGAUGAAGGUUGACGGAAAUGGGAAUUUGGAUUAACGAGACGGUUUUCUUUUUUUCGGUUACAAUUGAAGGGCAAAGGCUGGCAGGAGCUACCGUCGUCAAAUUCCAGGAGCUGAAGUUUGUUAUUUUGAAGCUCCUUAUCGUGCUUCCGAUGGAGUCGUAUUACGUUCGAUGCAGUGCUCAGGGCCCUGUAGUGAAUGCCGGUGUGAGCCGAGAAGACCUGUGCCGACUCGUACACUUUGUGGCAUAUCAGACAUUCGUACCACUCGUCGGGUCUGCUACGGUGCAUGUUGUGUAUCCGCCCAUCAGCUCCCAGAUGAGAGAGAAUUUCCACAUCAAGCGGCUGAAGCCCCUCCUGGACGGCGUCGUUAUCAGCAGGCACCUCUGGACGUGGUGGAGGUUCUCGGUGAAAGCUGAGUAGUGGAUCAGCCGAGUGAACUGGAUGGCUUGCUGCUGCUGGUUGUGGUGGCGCCGUAGAUGGGUUCGCCGGAUCCAUCGUUUUUCUUGACGGAAAUGGAGUUGGGAACUGGGGAUGAGGAGAGGAAUUUCAAGGUCGGAUAAACGUUGACGGGGAUUGGAAUUUUGGUGAAGCGCGACUGCUUUCCUUUUCUUUUCUUUUUUGUCAUGUGAGUUUCUGUUAAUAGGAACUUAGAAAAUAUAGGGAAGUUGGCUAACGGUUGGGGUAAAAUAGUAAUUUCAAGCGUGCCACAGACGAUGGAAAUUGGACCCACAAAAUAUGCCAAAAGAGGAAAUGUCAUUAUGUUUCGAUAAGAUUAAAUCUAAGCGUUUUGAAUUCAUAUGGUAACAGAGCAUUUGAAAAGAGAUUCGUGGUCAUUAUUGUGCAUAUCCAUAAAAAAGAGCA
RNAcentral lists this long non-coding RNA (2231 nucleotides) under Malus domestica (apple). Its description in RNAcentral is "long non-coding RNA (MDOM_LNC009838)". The record is from RNAcentral. Lineage: Eukaryota; Viridiplantae; Streptophyta; Magnoliopsida; Rosales; Rosaceae.